UUUGGGGAUUGUUAAAUGGAGAGAUGACACUUUACUUUUCAAUGGGUGGAAACGGUGAUUGAGCAUGAGUUGCCUUGCUGUUAUUUGGGUUCUUUAAUUUAUAUUCCUCUGUUACAAUGUUUUUGCCGAAAGGAAAUGUGCUUGCUGCCUAUCUUCAUUAGUUUAUUUUUAUUAGCCUUGGACAACGAGUGAGUGUUGCAUUUACUGGCUGAAGGGUCUCAUCCAGCAGUCAUUUCCAACAGCCCACGUGGUCUCUUUUUAUUCUCCUUCCUUGGAUGAAAGCUAUCGUUGAUGAUUAAGUGGAAAGGAAGUAUGUUGUUCAUUGAAAGCAAUUUAUUUUAUUUUGCUGGCAGUUUUUAAUUAGAGCAAUGGGUUUGGUAAAAGCCAUGGUUGAAGGAAAUUAACAGCUUGGCACGUUAAUUUAUUUCUUGGAAACACAUGGUGUAACACAUUACUUUGUUUUUGCUUUUUAGAAUGAUGAUAAGUUGAUUUAAGGUUGGAGGGUGAUUUGAUUUGGUGCAGAGGUGGUCUACGGCUAGAAUAGGGGGCACGGUUCCCUUGGAUUAAGCAACUUUCAUUUAAUUCUACUUCAUUAUUUGGUGGGGUCACGGAUGCUGAAAGCAAUGAGCUAGUUUUAGUGGAAGUAUUUAUUUUAAUUGAAAGCAUGAUUUCCUCCAUCAUUGAAUGAGGCAAUGACACGUUGGUAGAUGGAAUGAAGCUCGCUGAUUGAUGAGCAUUUCUUUGCUGUUGAAUUUCAACUUAUUCACGCUAUGGG
This 775-nucleotide long non-coding RNA is filed under the name Vigna radiata. RNAcentral's name for it is "long non-coding RNA (VRAD_LNC006710)". The record is from RNAcentral. Lineage: Eukaryota; Viridiplantae; Streptophyta; Magnoliopsida; Fabales; Fabaceae.